GGGAAAAGAUCACAGGUGCCUGCGACACUUCCAGGGCCCGCCGAGCCACAGCAUCCGAGACAUGGGACAAGUCUACCAUCAUGCCCAGCUUCUCAAAACUCUGCCCUGAACUUUGGCACCCCGAGAAGCAGCUCCACCUUUGCAACCUUCCCCAGGUGGCAGAACUGACUAGGGCAUGGGUAGUGACCUAAGUCUCACGACUGGAGAGCUUUUCUCCAGGGUCCGAAUGUCUGAUGUCCCAGGACUCGGGGGAAACACUAGGCUGUGAUGAGACAGUGAAGGUGGGCACUGUGUCUGCCGAAGGUUAGCUGGGCAGCACGACUGUCCUCAGCAUCCAACUUCAGUCCUCACACUUCAGCCUUGUGGAGAAACAAGCACAUACCAGCAAAGCCUUAUCCUAGGAGCCCCCAGUAUCAGUGACACAAGGACAACUUGGGGUCAGAGGGAAUGUUCUCCCUCCAGCUCCAGCUCCUCCCAUGACUCCUUCAUUUGCAUCACUGCUGAAAUGUCACCUCCUCAGAGAAGACUUCCCUGACCACCUUGUGUAACAUAAUGGUCCUCAUCACUGUAUUCUCUUAUCCCAUUUUAUUUUUCUUUAUAGCAAUCAUAAUUACCUGAAAUUA
This is a non-coding RNA of Microcebus murinus (gray mouse lemur), 623 nucleotides long. The record is from RefSeq and is a predicted model, not a curated record. NCBI's taxonomy places the organism in Eukaryota, Metazoa, Chordata, Mammalia, Primates, Cheirogaleidae.